This 440-nucleotide ribosomal RNA is filed under the name uncultured prokaryote. RNAcentral describes it as "partial 16S ribosomal RNA". The record is from RNAcentral.
CCCUAUGGGGUGCAGCAGGUGAGCAUGUGCGCCCGGUAGACCUGGAUAAAUCAGUCAUUUACCGUAAAGAGCAAGUGUAGACCCUAUGAUGAAAAGACUUUCUCGCGGUGUAGCUGUUGUUGGUGUCGGGAUGAGCAAAUUCGGGGCAUUUCCUGAGAAAACUUCCCGUGAUUUGUGUGUUGAAGCCUACAAAGAGCUCAAGAAAAGUGUUCAAAAAGGAUUCAGCCCCGAGGACAUUGAAGCUUUCUAUAUGGGCAACUUCACCUCUGAUCAUUUCGAGAAUCAAGCCAACCUGGCACCCGUCGGUGCCAGCUGGGGAGGAAUUUCACCCGUUGCAAGCACGCGCAUUGAAGAUGCAUGUGCGAGUGGAGGUGUAGCACUCCGCCAGGGUGUUUUGACAAUUGCCUCAGGCGAAGUGGAUGUCGUCCUGGCGGGGGGGC